AGAGUUUGAUCAUGGCUCAGGAUGAACGCUGGCGGUAUGCCUAACACAUGCAAGUCGUACGAGAGUUUUCGGACUCUAGUGGCGGACGGGUGAGUAACACGUGAGAAUUUGCCUUUAGGAGGGGGAUAACAAUUGGAAACGAAUGCUAAUACCCCAUAUGCUUUCGAGUGAAACGGAUUUAUCCGCCUAAAGAGAAGCUCGCGGCUGAUUAGCUUGUUGGUAAGGUAAGAGCUUACCAAGGCGACGAUCAGUAUCUGGUUUGAGAGGACGAUCAGACACACUGGAACUGAGACACGGUCCAGACUCCUACGGGAGGCAGCAGUGGGGAAUUUUCCGCAAUGGGCGAAAGCCUGACGGAGCAAUACCGCGUGAGGGAUGACUGCCUAUGGGUUGUAAACCUCUUUUUUCAGGGAGGAAUAAAUGACGUGUACCUGAAGAAUAAGCAUCGGCUAACUCCGUGCCAGCAGCCGCGGUAAGACGGAGGAUGCAAGUGUUAUCCGGGAAUCACUGGGCGUAAAGCGUCUGUAGGUGGCUUAAUAAGUCAACUGUUAAUCUGAGGCUCAACUUCGAAAUCGCAGU
Molecule: ribosomal RNA, 579 nt
Filed under: uncultured diatom
Lineage: Eukaryota; Bacillariophyta
Description: bacterial SSU rRNA
Rfam family: Bacterial small subunit ribosomal RNA
Source: RNAcentral